UACGGGGGGGGCGAGCGUUGUUCGGAUUUACUGGGCGUAAAGAGCGUGUAGGCGGCCAAGCAGGUCCGUUGUGAAAACUGGAGGCUUAACCUCCAGACGUCGACGGAAACCGCGUGGCUAGAGUCCGGAAGAGGAGAGUGGAAUUCCUGGUGUAGCGGUGAAAUGCGCAGAUAUCAGGAAGAACACCAAUGGCGAAGGCAGCUCUCUGGGACGGUACUGACGCUGAGACGCGAAAGCGUGGGGAGCGAACAGG
RNAcentral lists this ribosomal RNA (253 nucleotides) under uncultured bacterium. RNAcentral's name for it is "partial 16S ribosomal RNA". It matches the Rfam family "Bacterial small subunit ribosomal RNA", at positions 524 to 776 of the family's 1533-position model. The record is from RNAcentral.